This 5610-nucleotide long non-coding RNA is filed under the name Homo sapiens (human). RNAcentral describes it as "non-protein coding LINC01187:6". The record is from RNAcentral. Lineage: Eukaryota; Metazoa; Chordata; Mammalia; Primates; Hominidae.
GAGAAACAAUGCAUUUUAUCAUAGGGCCGGACAGCUAUAUGCACAAGAUGCUACCUGCAGAGAUUGGUUUUUGCCCAGAUGUGCAGGAGAGAUGCACAGAGAGGAAGAAAUGCAUACAUGUGUGCAGGUUUUGGCGUGUGCACAAGAAGCCUGGAAGGAUUUUCUUUGGAUCUACAGUCAAAAUGGAUUUCCGAGAGGAAGCUGUCUGAAAACACACCUCUUCCCUGUGCUACAUACGGUCCCAUCUCUGCCAGCCAGGUUGUCAGGAAAGUGAUCAGCACUGGCUUCAACUCUGGCUAGAGCUCUUUGGCCAAUGUGAUGGGCAGAAAACUGGAAUGAGGACAGAAAAGCACCUCAGAGGUUUGAAGAGUCUAGUCUCUCACCACCUUGCUGUAGGUUUUCUGAAUACUUCUGAGUUUAGGAGCAUUUUUUCUCAACAGGCAAGUCAGGAGCUGCUAAGAUAAACCAUGGCAGUAAGCUCGAGCCAGUGUUCGUAUUUGCCAUUGAUCGGCCACCAAGUGCUUGCUAUGUGCCAUGCAUUGUGCUAAGCACUAUCUCAUUUAAUAUUUACAGCAAUCUUAUGAGGUAGAUGCUACUGUUAUCUCCAUUUUACAGAUGGGGAAACUGAGGCACAGAGUUCCACAGCUGGUAACUUGAGGAAUAGGAAUUCAACCACUGGAGAGUCUGGCUGGAGUUUUUUGUGGUAGGAGAAAAUAUGCUGUCUAAAUUUGCCUUGGGAAACCAUCAUGGUGGUCACAAAACCACUUCUACGGCUUGCCUUGACCUAGCAGGAAUGAAGAUGUAAAGAAAGAAUGAGCGCGUCAUGGUUAUGAUGGGAUGAUGAUGUCUGUUGUGUUGUUUGGUGUCAGUUUCUGUAACGCCUUUCUAUUUCAAUCAAGGCUAUUAUCUUUUCCUCUGUUUUAGUGAAGUUUCCUUGAAGUAGAAAAUGGGAGUGUAUUGGGCAUCUCAGAGUUUUCAGCUGAACUGAAGGGUCUGAUGGUAACUUUACCCCCAAAUCUCUGAGAGAAAAGCAGGGAGUCCCUGCUUCAGCUCUGCUCAGAAGAGCCUCCCUCACAUGGUGGUUUCUGUGUCACUAGACUGGUUAACCAAAUGGUUCUUCUAAAUACCCAACUUUUAAUAGAAACUCCUGCGGCUUGGAUUAUUAAAGUCCUAACAUGCUUAUUUAAUCGUGUUUCAAGUCCAUCUAUCUUUUUUGAGUCUAAGGAAGACUCACUAGGUCAGAAGGAGUAGAGGGAAGAGGAUUAAUACAUGAUUUUCUUUUUCCCCUUUUUCUUUUAACUUAGGCUGAGACUUAUUUGAAUGCCUGUUUCAUAUGGAGCUUUUAAGUGUAACAGUUGUGAGUGAAAUUGCCCCUUUUCAAGCGCUCCGAGUUUGCUUCUGCAUGGAAGGGGAAGAUGGACUAGAGCUGAUACCUCCUGCACCCUGGUGAAGAAAUGCACCCUGAGGCCAGAAAAUAGUACAAACCCAUCUGGCUGCAACAGUCCAGCAGCAUGAAGAUCAAAGUCACGUAGCCAGAGAGAAAUUUGCCCUGGGCCUAAUAUUCAUGAAGCCUUUCCAAUUCAGACUCGGUAUUAUUGCCAAGUCGGUGUGUUUGGGAGAAAUCAGAAGCCAACACACUAGAAAAGUUGCAAGAGAUUCCUAGGGGAACCCACAAAUUCAGUUCCUUGCCAGAAACCUGCUCCUCCAGAUGAAUCUAGUGCAUCAGAUGGGCUCAGAAGCACAGGUGGCGCAGGCAGACCUCUACUGAGAAGAACAACAGUGGAAGGCAGAUGAAACUCACAUUUUGGAGUCUGAGAGCCAUGCGGGCCCACCCCAGUUACGUCUACCCCUGGUCGGUGACCAGAGAAUCCUUUAGCAGCAACAGCAGUGAUGUUUAUUUCACUGGUAUGUAUAAAGCGACUGAUUGAAAACAAGCUGUAUGCCCAACAACUUGGAACUGGUUAAAUGAUUUUUGGUUCAGCCGCACAGUGGAAUAUCAUGCGGCCAUUAAGAAUAAAUAAAAAAUCCUAUACUUUCCAUGUUCAACUUUAGACUGCAAACAACUGAAAAAACACCUUCAUAAUUAGGCUUCCUCAGAUUAGAACGUGAAGUCAAAUCAACGUGUGUCAGAAAGUUAACAACAGCUAACUGUUUGUUGUGGUGUUCUGAGUAACUUGUAUUAUUUUUCAGUUUUUUUCCCAUUCCUAAUGUGCAAAUGUACUAUUUUUAUUGUAAAAAAAAAUACAUGUUUGUAAAGAGCAAUAACAUAAAUCUCUGCAUAGGCAAAUUGAAAGGAAAUCAGACAAAAUGAUACCUUUUGGUAGUGGAAUUCUAAAUCAUUUUUUUCUUCAUUAGAGUUUCUGAAUUUUCUGCAUUUGAUAUGUUUACCUUUAUAAAGGGUCAAUCAUAUUUAAGAUGAUUUUUUAAAAGACAAGUGGACAGGGAAAGAGAGGUCUGCUGUUGCAAAACCAAAGCUGGAGGCUCUCCGAAGCCCACUUAUGUUAGUCAAUUGAUAUUUCAUGAAACUCUAGAAUGUGCAAAUCACUUUCCACGGGGAUUGGGGGGGUGAGAAAUACAGAGAUGAAGGAGAUGCAAACACUUUAAUCAAAGAAAUCCGUCUGGUUGGGAAGAGAAGGUUCUGCAUUAUAUAAGUUGCAAGGUCUUAUCCAAGAGGUUAGUCUGUCAAGAGUAAUAGCAAUAAUUACACAACAAUAUGUCAGAGAGGCUGGGAGCUCCAGCUUCAAAGCCACCUUGCCUGGGGAGAAACUUAACCAUAUUGGGCCUGAGCCUCAGUUACCUACCUCUUCUGUAAAUGUAAACUACCUCUUGGGGUCCUUGUGAGGAUUAAAUGAAACUUGAGCCUAAAGGGGCUGAGCUAGGUGCUUUGCAAAUAACCCAACCUUAGCAUGAGGCACGUUAUCAUCAUUACGGCUGUGGUGUUUGUGGUCACCUAUCUGCAAGUCACGCUUUCAUAGAUAUGGCUGAGCUGGGAUUUGAACCCACAUUGAUCUAAUUCCAAAGCCAAUGAUUCCACCCCAACCAGACACUGCAUUUACUCUCUAUGCCUAACUGAAAUUUGUUCUAAACCUCACCCUAAGGUCUUGCCAGAAAGAAAAGCUAAAUUUUCAUUAAAAGAUGAAAGGAGAAAUGAAUCUGUUUCAAAGGACAUGAGAGGAAGAAGGAAAUAUCCCUUCAUGAAGGAUUUUGCAACUUUGUCCAUGCUUCUGCAGGGUGUAAAAGUAAAAAUCCUAUACUUCCCAUAUUCAACGUUAGAUUUUAAACAACUGAACAAGCACUUUCACAAUUAGCCUUCCUCAGAUUGGAAUGCGAAGUCAAGCCAACGUGUACCUCUUACUGCAGAAGAUUUCUGCACUGUGAAUGUGAUAGGAUUUGCCUCCUUAACCAGAGGGUGCUGGUUUUUCCUGGCUGGAGGGUAGAAGGUCAUGAAUAGAGGACAAAGCACAGGGAAGGGGCAGCAUGUCGGGAAGAGCCCCAAGGAUCUCAGUAUGAAAAUAAAGAGGUGUGAGCCAACUGCCCAUAGGUUUGGGCUAUGAGUCUGGGGAAACUGUUUCAAAAUCAAUGGAGGCCCAAAGGCAGAGGGAAAAUUCUGUGUAUGGACUUCCAUGUCAUUCAGAAAUGUUAACUCCUUGAAAAGAGUUAAUAUAUUUUUUUCUUUUUUAAACAUUUCAAUAGGUUUUUGGGGAACAGGUGGUGUUUGGUUCCGUGGGUAAGUUCUUUAGUGGUGAUUUCUGAGAUUUUGGUGCACCCAUCACCUGAGCAGUGUACAUUCUACCCAUUGUGUAGUCUUUUAUCUUUCACUCCCCUCCCACUUAGAAUAAUGUUCUCCAAUUCCAUCCAGGUUGCUGCGAAGGACAUUAUUUCAUUCCUUUUUAUGGCUGAGUUGCAUUCCAUGGUGUAUAUAUAUAUACCACAAUGUCUGUAUCCACUCAUUGAUUGAUGGGUAUGCAGGCUGGUUCCAUACUUUUCCAAUUGCGAAUUGUGCUGCUAUAAACAUCCAUGAGCAAGUAUCUUUUUGGUAUAAUGAUAUGUUUUCCUCUGAGUGGAUACCCAGUAGUGGGAUUGCUGGAUCAAAUGGUAGUUCUACUUUUAGCUCCUUAAGUAAUCUCCACACUGUUUUUCAUAGUGGUGGUACUAGUUUACAUUUCCACCGGCAAUGUAAAAGUGUUUCUUCCUGUCCCUCUGGUCAUCUGUUUUUUUAAGGGAUCUACCUAAACUCAACCAUAACCCAUUCCAUCCACCUCAUCUUGCCUCAAGCUAAGAAAUAGGAGUGCAGAGAAGAAAACAGUACAGAUAAGAAUGCUAGAAGGUUGUGUGUUUGAAUAAGAAGGAACAUGGAUCAGGUUUCAAGUACAGUACCUGAGGCAGGUAUGAGGUAGUAGCUAAUGGGGUGAGGUAGGCAGAAAAGGCUUCUAAAGAAGCAGGUACUUGAGUUGGGUCUUCAAGGCCAUAGUGAGUGGUUUCCCGGUGGAUCUGAGAAAGGAAGGUGAGUUUAGAGAAAGGGAAGAGCCCGCAGUGAGGCAUGAAAAUGUACACUGUGCCUUCAGCGAGCUUGGUGGGUGGCAAUGUCUGGAUCCAAGUGCGUGUGGAGGAGACUUUGCACAAUAAGGCCACUAGGCAGGUAGGACGGCCCCCAGAGGGUUUUGGCUGACAAGCUGAGGGACAUGCUAUAAGGGUAGGGGCCAGGGGAAGAGAUGGCUCCCUGGCAGUGGGUCCCCUGUGUGCUCGGCAGCUCAUGGAUAACAGAGGAUAACAGGCCUGUACCUCCAUAUUGCCCAACAUGUUAUCACAUCUUCAGUUUGGAGAGAAGAAUUAAAUUCGUCUAAGUUUAUAAUUUACCAGAUGACUUUGGAUAAGCACAUAUUUGGAACCUCAGAUAAUUCAUCCAUUCAUUUGCUCAUUCAGAACAGUUCUUGCGCAUCACUUUAUAUUCAGUGCUGCUGAAGUUUCUUUGGGGGCUACACAGGUUAGUAAGGCUUGGUUUUCAUCUCAGGAACCUUAUAGCCAGAAUGAGGGAGAGGUGAGUACUAACUCCACAGUGUUAUCCCAGUCGCUACUCAUUUCCCUUACCACCACGCCUUCAAACACUUCAGUGUACUUUCAGCUCUCAGGAAAAAUGCAAACUUUCAUCUGGGCCUAAGAAUCUCUAUAUGAACUACCCCUGCUCACCUCCGGAGAGGCAUCCCCUUCCACCACCCUCCCCUCCUUCUUCUCUAUCCUCAUUGCUCCUUUCAAUGGUCCUGACAGGAUCCCUUUCAGCCACAGGCCCUUAGCAAAUGCUGCUCUCACGGCCCAAGUCAUCUUCCCUGGUUCAUGCCUACUUCGGAUUAAAGUUACCCCUCCGGAGAGUGUUCCCGAUCAAUCUGAAUUGACCAAGUCCUUAUUACACACUCUCAAACUCCAUGAGAUGUCCUUCAUAGCUCUCAUCCCAGUUAUAAUUAGUUUGCAUUUAUUUACACAAUGGCUGUAUUAAUUUCUGUAUUCUCCACCAGAAUGAGAGCUUCAUGAGAGCCAGGAUGUGUGUUUUCUCAAAAUCUGCUUUAUUGUGGUCUAAUUUGUGUAUAAUAAACACACCCAUGUUAGGUGUACCCA